CCUUGCCAGCCCGCUCAGAAACUCAAAGGAAUUGACGGGGGCCCGCACAAGCGGUGGAGUAUGUGGUUUAAUUCGAUGCAACGCGAAGAACCUUACCUGGCCUUGACAUCCACGGAACUUUCCAGAGAUGGAUUGGUGCCUUCGGGAACCGUGAGACAGGUGUUGCAUGGCUGUCGUCAGCUCGUGUCGUGAGAUGUUCGGUUAAGUCCGCUAACGAGCGCAACCCUCGCUGUAUGUUACAUGUGUCAUACAGGACCGCCGGUAUCAAGCCGGAGGAAGGUGGGGAUGACGUCAAGUCCGCAUGGCCUUUAUGUCCGGGGCUACACACACGCUACAAUGGUCGGUACAAUGGGUUGCUAAGCCGCGAGGUGGAGCCAAUCCCCCAAAGCCGGCCUCAGUUCAGAUUGCAGGCUGCAACUCGCCUGCAUGAAGCUGGAGUUGCUAGUAAACGCGCGUCAGCUAUAGUGCGUUGAAUACGUUCUCGGGCCUU
Molecule: ribosomal RNA, 490 nt
Filed under: uncultured Anaerolineaceae bacterium
Lineage: Bacteria; Bacillati; Chloroflexota; Anaerolineae; Anaerolineales; Anaerolineaceae
Description: bacterial SSU rRNA
Rfam family: Bacterial small subunit ribosomal RNA
Source: RNAcentral